Molecule: ribosomal RNA, 378 nt
Filed under: uncultured organism
Description: bacterial LSU rRNA
Rfam family: Bacterial large subunit ribosomal RNA
Source: RNAcentral
GAAAAACUGCAAUGAGUGGACUCUUAUUUGCGCAGUAUUAGGGGGGAGGCUUUGAUCCAUUGCUUGCGGGGUUAUGGGAGCCCUCAGUGAGAUACCACUCUGGUCAUGUUAGAUUUCUAAAUUUGUAUCGUAUCUGGUCAAAGAAAAGUUUCAGGCGGGCAGUUUGACUGGGCGGUCGCCUCCCAAAAGGUAACGGAGGCGCACAAAGGUUUCCUCUGAACGGGUGGAAAUCGUAUCUCGAGUGUAAAGGCAUAAGGAAGCUUGACUGUGAGACCUACAAGUCGAACAGGGACGAAAGUCGGUCUUAGUGAUCUGACGGUGCUGAGUGGAAAGGCCGUCACUCAACGGAUAAAAGUUACUCUAGGGAAACAGGCUGAA